GCAUUUAUACUGCGAAACUGCGAAUGGCUCAUUAAAUCAGUUAUCGUUUAUUUGAUAGUACCUUACUACUUGGAUAACCGUGGUAAUUCUAGAGCUAAUACAUGCUAAAAACCCCGACUUACGGAGGGGUGUAUUUAUUAGAUUAAAAACCAAUGCCCUUCGGGGCUCCUUGGUGAUUCAUAAUAACUUCUCGAAUCGCAUGGCCUUGCGCUGGCGAUGGUUCAUUCAAAUUUCUGCCCUAUCAACUUUCGAUGGCAGGGUCUUGGCCUGCCAUGGUUACAACGGGUAACGGAGGGUUAGGGCUCGACCCCGGAGAAGGAGCCUGAGAAACGGCUACUACAUCCAAGGAAGGCAGCAGGCGCGCAAAUUACCCAAUCCCGAUACGGGGAGGUAGUGACAAUAAAUACUGAUACAGGGCUCUUUUGGGUCUUGUAAUUGGAAUGAGUACAAUUUAAAUCCCUUAACGAGGAACAAUUGGAGGGCAAGUCUGGUGAGCAUCUGCUGGUGCCAGAGAUAGUGAGGCCCUGUAAAUUUCACUAGUCGAAUGCAUCCAUUGGUGGCGGGUGGAUGCCGGCGAGACAACCUGGAUCGGGGAAGGCUAAGGGCCUAAUUGCCUAUGCUAAUCCCGAGCGGAGCUACCCUGUGAGGGGUAGCCCGUGUAGAGCGCGGAAAGGUGUCGGUCCUGCGGUCUUCCGCAGGGCUUAAGGGACGUGCCAGCCCCUACAGAAAUGUAGGCCAGAUACUCGAGCGCCCGCCGCGCAAAGGUGUCUGGGUACUGCCGAAUGUCGCAGUAUAGUAUCUUAUAUAAUAAACGGCCAGCAGCCGCGGUAAUUCCAGCUCCAAUAGCGUAUAUUAAAGUUGUUGCAGUUAAAAAGCUCGUAGUUGAACCUUGGGCCUGGCUGGCCGGUCCGCCUCACCGCGUGCACUGGUUCGGCCGGGCCUUUCCCUCUGGGGAACCCCAUGCCCUUCACUGGGUGUGGCGGGGAACCAGGACUUUUACUGUGAAAAAAUUAGAGUGUUCAAAGCAGGCC
Molecule: ribosomal RNA, 1031 nt
Filed under: Camporesia sambuci
Lineage: Eukaryota; Fungi; Ascomycota; Sordariomycetes; Xylariales; Xylariaceae
Description: partial 18S ribosomal RNA
Rfam family: Eukaryotic small subunit ribosomal RNA
Source: RNAcentral